CAGAACUAUUACUAGGCAAUUCUGUAAUGGGAGAACCGUCCUCAUGAAGGAGUUAGUGCCAUGAUCAUGGUGUGGGCUGGUUCUCUUGGGAGUUCCUGAUAAAGGAGUGGGCGAGGCACCUUCCCCUCUCUAUGCUGCACAUGAAAUCUUCUGCCUUUCCACCUUCCACCAUGAAAUGAUGCAGCAAGUUGGCCCUCACAGGAUGCUGGUGCCAUGACCUUGGGCCAUUGUAAGAAGUAAAUCUGUGCUUUAAAUAAAUCAAGGUACAUAUGAAAUACCAGUCUCUGGUAUUCUAUUAUAGGAGCAUAAAAUAGAUUAAUACAAUAUGACCAAUUUAAGUAACAUAAACUAUAGUUAUGAGCUUUUCUUCUUCCAUGCAUGAUGCUUUUCUUUUCCUUAUACAAGGGCAGUUUGUUUGCAUUCUUUUAAAAAUGCAUUUGAGCCUGGCACAGUGGUGCACACCUGUUAUCCCAGUGGUUUUGGAGGGAGAGGCAAGAGGAUAGCAAGUUCAAAGCCAGGCUCAGAAACUUAGGGAGGCCCCAAGAAACUUGGUGAGAGCCUGUCUUAAAAUAAACCAUAAAGAAAAGACUGGGGAUGUGGCUCAGUGGUUAGGCAUCCCUGGGUUCAGUCCUUGGUACCCAAACCAAAAAAUGCAAUUGAUUUUAUUUUAAAUUAAAACCAAGUUUGAUUUACCCUGUAUGAAUGAGUUGGUCACAAUUAUUGGAAACAUAAACAAACAAAUAAAUAAAGGCUUAAAGAACAGGAUGUGUCUGAAGUCAUCCUAAAUCCAAUGAGGGGUUUCUUUGCACAGGCUCAUUUGAAGCACUGCUGUACUUAGUAGCUUACCUUAUGGAAGAAGAUUUUGCUAGGCAGAGAAUCUGCCUCUGAGUUCCCUCCAAAGUCAGAUGAAGCAGGGACAACUUUGCAAAUACCAUUGUGAACAACACCUCCUGGCAAACCUGGUGGCAUUUCGUCUGGUGCCUAAG
Molecule: long non-coding RNA, 986 nt
Filed under: Marmota monax (woodchuck)
Lineage: Eukaryota; Metazoa; Chordata; Mammalia; Rodentia; Sciuridae
Source: RNAcentral